RNAcentral lists this long non-coding RNA (208 nucleotides) under Lathyrus oleraceus (garden pea). RNAcentral's name for it is "Pisum sativum (pea) long non-coding RNA (PSAT_LNC035602)". The record is from RNAcentral. Lineage: Eukaryota; Viridiplantae; Streptophyta; Magnoliopsida; Fabales; Fabaceae.
GUUGUUUAGUGUGCGUAUCAAUUCUUUGUUCGUCACCUUCUUCAAUCUUCAACGUCCUCUUUAAAUAGAUGCAAAAUAGAUCCAUUGGAGGUGAAGAUGAAAAUAUCCUCUAAGUAUCCAUUAUAAAAGACCACUUCAAAUGAAACACUAGAGUUGUGUUAUAGCCUAUAGUUGGUGAAGAUGAUUGGACGCAGAAGGCUUCUUUUAC